This 403-nucleotide ribosomal RNA is filed under the name uncultured bacterium. RNAcentral describes it as "bacterial SSU rRNA". It matches the Rfam family "Bacterial small subunit ribosomal RNA", at positions 355 to 774 of the family's 1533-position model. The record is from RNAcentral.
UCGGGAAUAUUGCGCAAUGGAGGAAACUCUGACGCAGUGACGCCGCGUGCAGGAAGAAGGUUUUCGGAUUGUAAACUGCUUUAGACAGGGAAGAAAAAAGACAGUACCUGUAGAAUAAGCUCCGGCUAACUACGUGCCAGCAGCCGCGGUAAUACGUAGGGAGCAAGCGUUAUCCGGAUUUAUUGGGUGUAAAGGGUGCGUAGACGGGGAAAUAAGUUAGUUGUGAAAUCCCUCGGCUUAACUGAGGAACUGCAACUAAAACUGUAACUCUUGAGUGCUGGAGAGGAAAGUGGAAUUCCUAGUGUAGCGGUGAAAUGCGUAGAUAUUAGGAGGAACACCAGUGGCGAAGGCGACUUUCUGGACAGUAACUGACGUUGAGGCACGAAAGUGUGGGGAGCAAACA